Molecule: ribosomal RNA, 254 nt
Filed under: uncultured bacterium
Lineage: Bacteria
Description: partial 16S ribosomal RNA
Rfam family: Bacterial small subunit ribosomal RNA
Source: RNAcentral
UACGGGGGGGCAAGCGUUGUUCGGAAUUACUGGGCGUAAAGGGCUCGUAGGCGGCCAACUAAGUCGGAUGUGAAAUCCCCAGGCUUAACCUGGGAACUGCAUCCGAUACUGGAUGGCUUGAAUCCGGGAGAGGGAUGCAGAAUUCCAGGUGUAGCGGUGAAAUGCGUAGAUAUCUGGAGGAAUACCGGUGGCGAAGGCGGCAUCCUGGACCGGCAUUGACGCUGAGUGAGCGAAAGCCAGGGGAGCAAACGGGG